RNAcentral lists this ribosomal RNA (405 nucleotides) under uncultured bacterium. RNAcentral's name for it is "partial 16S ribosomal RNA". It matches the Rfam family "Bacterial small subunit ribosomal RNA", at positions 28 to 526 of the family's 1533-position model. The record is from RNAcentral.
GACGAACGCUGGCGGCGUGCUUAACACAUGCAAGUCGAGCGGAGCGGCGAACGGGAGAGUAACGCGAGAGUAACUGCCCCCCUCUCUGGGAUAACAGUUGGAAACGGCUGCUAAUACCGGAUAGUGGGGGAUGACUCGCGUCCUAUCAGCUUGUUGGUGGGGUAGUGGCCUACCAAGGCGACGCCGGGUAGCCGGCCUGAGAGGGCGACCGGCCACAAUGGGCGUGGGUACGGGCCAAACUCCAACGGGGGGCAGCGGUGGGGAAUAUUGCACAGUGGGGGAAACCCUGAGGCAGCAACGCCGCGUGGGGGAUGACGGCCUUCGGGUUGUAAACCGCUUUCGGCCAUGACGCGGUAGUGGCAGAAGAAGCACCGGCUAACUACGUGCCAGCAGCCGCGGUAAUAC